GUGGGAUGUUAUUAGGAUCCUUUCUAUAGGAAGCCCUUCGCAUAGACGAUCGCAAUAUGCGGGGCCUCACUAACCAUGACGAGGAGACGUGGCGCGGUGUCCUGAGCGUGAGGCGGGCGGUGGCAGCUUGCCAUCAGCCCUCGAUGAUCGUUCGCUCCCCUCGGGGAUGCGAUACUGUCGCUUUCUGAGUGGU
Plodia interpunctella (Indianmeal moth) is the source of this 193-nucleotide small nucleolar RNA. RefSeq annotates it as small nucleolar RNA U3. The record is from RefSeq and is a predicted model, not a curated record. The transcript has a single exon. Lineage: Eukaryota; Metazoa; Arthropoda; Insecta; Lepidoptera; Pyralidae.